Molecule: ribosomal RNA, 590 nt
Filed under: uncultured Burkholderia sp.
Lineage: Bacteria; Pseudomonadati; Pseudomonadota; Betaproteobacteria; Burkholderiales; Burkholderiaceae
Description: bacterial SSU rRNA
Rfam family: Bacterial small subunit ribosomal RNA
Source: RNAcentral
UCGGGUUGUAAAGCACUUUUGUCCGGAAAGAAAACUUCCUGGUUAAUACCUGGGGAGGAUGACGGUACCGGAAGAAUAAGCACCGGCUAACUACGUGCCAGCAGCGCGGUAAUCGUAGGGUGCGAGCGUUAAUCGGAAUUACUGGGCGUAAAGCGUGCGCAGGCGGUUCGUUAAGACAGAUGUGAAAUCCCCGGGCUUAACCUGGGAACUGCAUUUGUGACUGGCGAGCUAGAGUAUGGCAGAGGGGGGUAGAAUUCCACGUGUAGCAGUGAAAUGCGUAGAGAUGUGGAGGAAUACCGAUGGCGAAGGCAGCCCCCUGGGCCAAUACUGACGCUCAUGCACGAAAGCGUGGGGAGCAAACAGGAUUAGAUACCCUGGUAGUCCACGCCCUAAACGAUGUCAACUAGUUGUUGGGGAUUCAUUUCCUUAGUAACGUAGCUAACGCGUGAAGUUGACCGCCUGGGGAGUACGGUCGCAAGAUUAAAACUCAAAGGAAUUGACGGGGACCCGCACAAGCGGUGGAUGAUGUGGAUUAAUUCGAUGCAACGCGAAAAACCUUACCUACCCUUGACAUGGUCGGAACCCUGCUG